AUAUAUAUAUAUUUAUAUACAUAUAUAUAUAUACAUAUGCAAUAAUAAUAAUACUAAUAAUAAACAACAAUAAUAAUAAUAACAAGAUCGUAUAUAUACGACGAAACUGUACCAAUGAUUGACAGAGCUCUAACAAUGACUCCCACGACAAACGGCCCUGGCGCUUAGUCAAGGUCACGGACGUAUGUACGUAUAUACAUACAUACGUCUAAAAAUAUAAUUUCGUCGGUAACACACAAAAAAAAAGAAAAGAAAACUCCAAUUCCAAAACAAAAACAAACAAACAAACAAACAAUCCAAAAACACGUGCAGAAUCAAAAUCAUAAGCUGUUUAAAUCAAUAAAUAAAUAAGUAAACAAACGAAUGAAAAAAAAAGAAGAAUUCCUUUUCAUGCAAAUAAAGAAAGAAAAAAAAUGAAGGAAGAAAGAAAGAAAGAAAGAAAGAAAGAAAGAAAGGAAAAAAAAUAUAUGAAGAGAUGAAAUAAAACACGUAAGUUAAGCCGAUAUUAUAUCGAGCUCGUGUUAAAAUUUGUUUCCUUUUUAUAUUUCAUGUUCGAUGGGAACACAGAGAGAAGGCGAGGGGAGGUUGAGAGGGCGAGAGGUAUCGAGAUGGGUGGAUGGGUGGAUAAGAGGAGAAGUGGUGGUGGUCGCGGGGGGUGAGCGGGCCGGAAGAGGGUGGUAGAAGCCGACAGAGGUGCGAACGGCACGCGACUCACCGCACGCACGCAUUGAUUGAUUUAUACGCCGUAUAUGGUAGACCUCUUCGAAAAAUUUGUUCUCAAUCGAUAUUUUCGAAAAUACUUGUUAUUAUUAUUAUUAUUAUUGUUGUUGUUGUUGUUGUUAUUUAUUAAUUAAUUUUUCGUUCGAUAUUCGAAGGUUAUGUUAAAAGUUCGUUGACUUUAAUAUCUUUCAGAUUGUUGGAAAUAUUUUUGUUCUUUCGCACGUAGCAUAUGUAGAGAGAAAGAGAGAGAGAAAGACAUAGAUCAGAUUUUGGAGGUUAUGAAUAUCUUUGGAGAAUUGAUAGCACGAAAGGUGUUACGUAACUUCCCAAAAACGCGUUUGGGUGUCGGUCGAAUGACGCAGUUAUCGUUAUCAUGUUAUUCUCUUAUUUUCCUUUUUUACUUCGAUCAUUGUUCAAGAUACAAAAAUCUCGCCAAAAUUUCGCUUGUUUCAAUAAUUAAUAAUAAUCGUUUACUGUAAUUGGUCAAGAAAUUUUUCAAUAUUUAUAAUUAUGUUUUCUUGAAAAUCAAUACACAUAUAUACAUACAAUAUGUGUGUGUGUAUAUAUAUGUAUGUAUGUAUAUAUGUAUGUAGUGAUGCAAUCUCGGCCUGAAAAUGAGAAUCUUUUUUAUUAUUAUUAUUUCCUUUUUUUUUAAAUCACAUAUGGACGCUGAUAACGUCGUCAUUGUCGAAGAUAACGAAACAAUUUUUUGGUAUCAUCUAGAUAAAAUCGUUUAAUGAGUUCGAGAGUUCGUACAAUUAGUAAGAAUUUUUAGUUCAUAUAUAUAUAUAUGUUUAUACAUAUAUAUAUAUAUAUAUAUAUACACAUAUAUGUAUGUAUGUAUAUGAAGUAUAUAUAAUUAUGAGAAAAAAUAUUUUGAUAUUUCGCCGAUAACAUUUUUCAGUAUCAUUAUAUCUUCAUUUUCUUUUUUUUCCAGAUAAGAGAAAGCUGUCCAUGUACGCAUAUCAGUAAUAUCGAAAUUGUUAAAAACUUGUUGAGAAAAUAAUUCCUUCAAAUUUAUUCUUUUAUUUAUUAUAUAAACGACGACGUAUAUUAAUCGAGGUAUAUUGUUAAAGAAUAAAAAAAAAAAAAAAAUAAUUGAAAAAUUGUUCGGAAAAAAAUGUUCGUUUAAUAAAAAGAAAAAAUAUAUGUAACUCGUCUAACA
This is a long non-coding RNA of Vespula vulgaris, 1885 nucleotides long. RefSeq lists it as uncharacterized. The record is from RefSeq and is a predicted model, not a curated record. The transcript is spliced from 2 exons. NCBI's taxonomy places the organism in Eukaryota, Metazoa, Arthropoda, Insecta, Hymenoptera, Vespidae.